Molecule: ribosomal RNA, 460 nt
Filed under: uncultured bacterium
Lineage: Bacteria
Description: partial 16S ribosomal RNA
Rfam family: Bacterial small subunit ribosomal RNA
Source: RNAcentral
CCUACGGGGGGCUGCAGUGAGGAAUAUUGGUCAAUGGCCGAGAGCCUGAACCAGCCAAGUCGCGUGAAGGAUGACUGCCCUACGGGUUGUAAACUUCUUUUAUAAAGGAAUAAAGUGAGUCACGUGUGCCUCUUUGUAUGUACUUUAUGAAAAAGCAUCGGCUAACUCCGUGCCAGCAGCCGCGGUAAUACGGAGGAUGCGAGCGUUAUCCGGAUUUAUUGGGUUUAAAGGGUGCGUAUAUGGGGUGUCAAGUCAGUUGUGAAAGUUUGCGGCUCAACCGUAAAAUUGCAAUUGAUACUGGAAGUCUUGAGUACAGGUGAGGUAGGCGGAAUGCGUGGUGUAGCGGUGAAAUGCUUAGAUAUCACGAAGAACUCCGAUUGCGAAGGCAGCAUACUAAACCGCCACUGACAUUGAUGCUCGAAAGUGUGGGUAUCAAACAGGAUUAGAUACCCUAGUAGUC